CGCAGCUUUCAGUAUUGUCAGGUCGAUGAGGGAUGAUGAAGGACAAAGCAUCCAAGGAGCCUGUACAGUUCAGUGGAGUAUAGGACGUGUCUUUGCAGCUAGUUAGAACCACAAAGUAAUGGGUUGGGACAGGGAUUUGUGUGUUGUUUACAUGCUGUGUAAUUUCAUCAAGAGUAUCAAAAUGGCCAUCAUAAUUGUAAUCAAACACUGGUCCACUGAUA
This 221-nucleotide long non-coding RNA is filed under the name Gallus gallus (chicken). Lineage: Eukaryota; Metazoa; Chordata; Aves; Galliformes; Phasianidae. The record is from RNAcentral.